AGGUAACGCGUGGGAAUCUACCCUAGAGCGGGGGACAACCCGGGGAAACCCGGGCUAAUACCGCAUACGUCCUACGGGAGAAAGAGGGCCUCUGCUUGCACGCUCUCACUCCAGGAUGAGCCCACGUCCGAUUAGCUAGUUGGUAGGGUAAAGGCCUACCAAGGCCACGAUCGGUAGCUGGUCUGAGAGGAUGAUCAGCCACACUGGGACUGAGACACGGCCCAGACUCCUACGGGAGGCAGCAGUGGGGAAUAUUGGACAAUGGGCGCAAGCCUGGUCCAGCAAUGCCGCGUGUGUGAAGAAGGCCUGCGGGUUGUAAAGCACUUUCAGUGGGGAAGAACAGAUUCGGGUCAAUACCCCGGAGCCCUGACGUUACCCACAGAAGAAGCACCGGCUAACUCCGUG
Molecule: ribosomal RNA, 405 nt
Filed under: uncultured bacterium
Lineage: Bacteria
Description: bacterial SSU rRNA
Rfam family: Bacterial small subunit ribosomal RNA
Source: RNAcentral